This 758-nucleotide non-coding RNA is filed under the name Pongo abelii (Sumatran orangutan). The record is from RNAcentral. Lineage: Eukaryota; Metazoa; Chordata; Mammalia; Primates; Hominidae.
AGCAGAUGACCUGUACUUCUCUGUUCUCUCCCCUACUGCAAAGAGGCAGCGAGGGCAGCAUUAGUAAGCCUGACUCAGGGGAAGUAAGUAGCCUGCAGAGAAAGGGUCCUAGGUCCGCAACCGAGGCGAGUGAACUUGUCGGACAGAUGAAGACUCUAACUGGAAGAAACGAUCAGCGCAUUCAUGGAUGCACCACCAUCCAGAAAUCUCCCAGUGGCUUCCAUACAAAAACUGAUGUUUCUAAAGAUGGAAAGAACAGGUCUAGGAGGCAGGAGAGUAUCUCCUGGCAGUGUUCUGUAGCUCAAAGAAUGAACAACACAGAUGGGUUAAAUGAUUUGCCUAAAGUCACACAGCUCAUAAGGGCCAGAGCCUGCACUUUCAUCCACUAGCCUAUAUUCUGUGCUGUCAUCACUGAUAGCAGUGACUGAGACUGAGAGAAAAAGUCACUUAAGAGCCGAUGGCUGCUACUAAAAAAUUUAAAUGUGUGGCUCAUGUUACAUUUCAACUGGACACUGCUAUGCUGGUUCCAGCAUGAAAGACAGGUGAGAUGGUGCAGAGAAAAUCCUCAGCAACCCUGCAGGCCCAGGCAGGGGGCAUCACCCACUCCAGCCUGCUGCUGGCAGUGACUGCGACCAGUGCCUGCAGCCUUUCCCACUAAGCGGAGGCCCCUCCACUCCCCACUCAGCUUCCCGGAGUCUUGCAACCCCCAAGGACUCCUGGGGUCUGACGGGAAGUAAAUGGUCUCUGUGAUUGGCCAC